GACGAACGCUGGCGGCGUGCUUAACACAUGCAAGUCGAACGGAAAGGCCCUGCUUUUGUGGGGUGCUCGAGUGGCGAACGGGUGAGUAACACGUGAGUAACCUGCCCUUGACUUUGGGAUAACUUCAGGAAACUGGGGCUAAUACCGGAUAGGAGCUCCUGCUGCAUGGUGGGGGUUGGAAAGUUUCGGCGGUUGGGGAUGGACUCGCGGCUUAUCAGCUUGUUGGUGGGGUAGUGGCUUACCAAGGCUUUGACGGGUAGCCGGCCUGAGAGGGUGACCGGCCACAUUGGGACUGAGAUACGGCCCAGACUCCUACGGGAGGCGGCAGUGGGGAAUAUUGCACAAUGGGCGGAAGCCUGAUGCAACAACGCCGCAUGCGGGAUGACGGCCUUCGGGUUGUAAACCGCUUUCGCCUGUGACGAAGCGUGAGUGACGGUAAUGGGUAAAGAAGCACCGGCUAACUACGUG
RNAcentral lists this ribosomal RNA (468 nucleotides) under uncultured bacterium. RNAcentral's name for it is "partial 16S ribosomal RNA". It matches the Rfam family "Bacterial small subunit ribosomal RNA", at positions 28 to 507 of the family's 1533-position model. The record is from RNAcentral.